This is a non-coding RNA of Hordeum vulgare subsp. vulgare (domesticated barley), 136 nucleotides long. The record is from Rfam. NCBI's taxonomy places the organism in Eukaryota, Viridiplantae, Streptophyta, Magnoliopsida, Poales, Poaceae.
AUAAUAAUUCCUCCGUCCCAAAAUUCUUGUAUUAGAUUUGUGUAGAUAUGAUUGUAUCUAGUCAUGUUUUAGUAUUUAGAUACAUUCAUUUUUAAAUAAAUUUAAGACAAGAAUUUUAGGACAGAGGAAGUAUACA